AACGCUAGCUACAGGCUUAACACAUGCAAGUCGAGGGGCAGCACGGGAGUAGCAAUACAACUGGUGGCGACCGGCGCACGGGUGAGUAACGCGUAUGCAACCUACCUAUCAGAGGGGAAUAACCCGGCGAAAGUCGGACUAAUACCGCAUAAAACAGGGGCACCGCAUGGUGAUAUUUGUUAAAGAAAUUCGCUGAUAGAUGGGCAUGCGUUCCAUUAGGUAGUUGGUGAGGUAACGGCUCACCAAGCCGACGAUGGAUAGGGGAACUGAGAGGUUGGUCCCCCACACUGGUACUGAGACACGGACCAGACUCCUACGGGAGGCAGCAGUGAGGAAUAUUGGUCAAUGGGCGGGAGCCUGAACCAGCCAAGUCGCGUGAAGGAAGAAGGAUCUAUGGUUCGUAAACUUCUUUUGCAGGGGAAUAAAGUGCAGGACGUGUCCUGUUUUGUAUGUACCCUGAGAAUAAGGAUCGGCUAACUCCGUGCCAGCAGCCGCGGUAAUACGGAGGAUCCGAGCGUUAUCCGGAUUUAUUGGGUUUAAAGGGUGCGUAGGUGGUUUGAUAAGUCAGCGGUGAAAGUUUGCAGCUUAACUGUAAAAAUGCCGUUGAAACUGUCGGACUUGAGUGUAAAUGAGGUAGGCGGAAUGCGUGGUGUAGCGGUGAAAUGCAUAGAUAUCACGAAGAACUCCGAUUG
Molecule: ribosomal RNA, 692 nt
Filed under: uncultured bacterium
Lineage: Bacteria
Description: bacterial SSU rRNA
Rfam family: Bacterial small subunit ribosomal RNA
Source: RNAcentral